GCAAUCACCGCCGCCGGAACCUUUCCGUUGUUUUUCUGGAAGUGAACCAAUCCCUUCGGGAAAACGAAGAUCUCACCCUUCUUGAUCGAUUUCGAGACAAGAACAUUGGCGGUUGUAAUGAAGCCGACGUCUAGUUGGCCUUCGAGGACGAACACGAUCUCGGUUGCGCGUGGAUGCGUGUGCGGCGGAUUCAGCCCGCCGGGAGCAUAGUCGAUUCGCGAGAGGGAGACGCCGAGUGUGUUCAGGCCGGGGAUUGAUUGGACAUUGGCUCCAGUUACUCGCGAGCCUAGGGUAUUGUUGGUGAGCCCUGGUUUGGCCAAUCCAUCGAAGAAGAAAUCGUUUGCUGAGAAAUUCGAUUUGCAGGUGAAUCCGUUUACUUUGAUUCCAGAAGCGAGAUCGGCGACGCAAACGUCUUGAAGCAAAUCGGGAUCGGCCGUGGCGAUGGCGAAGAAGAAGAAGGCAAGAGAAGCAAUAAACAGAGCAGGGGAAGGAGGCAGCUUCAUGACUGUGAAAAAAGUUGGUUGAAGAAGAGAAGAGUAAAAGGGAAAAGUUG
RNAcentral lists this unclassified non-coding RNA (553 nucleotides) under Hevea brasiliensis (rubber tree). The record is from RNAcentral. Lineage: Eukaryota; Viridiplantae; Streptophyta; Magnoliopsida; Malpighiales; Euphorbiaceae.